GGGGGCGGGCGUGAGGGGCGCUGUGAGGCGGCCGGGGCCGGGGCCGGGGCCGCUGCCCCGGGGCUUGUGGCGGCGCCGGGGCCGAGGCGGGUGCGGGCGGCAACGGCCGCAGGAUAGAAGCCACCACCCGCCGGCUGCCCGCCGCCCCAGGGCGGAACGCCGUGACACAGGCGUUAAGGCUCGUAAAUACUGAUACCAGCGGAAUGGGGUCCGGGAGCGGGGAGGUCGCUCGUGCCAGAGUGUCCUGAGCUGUGAGGCUCGCGGGUGGUGUGGGUACAAGGAGGGGAAGGGGUUUCUUGCAGCCGGGACUGGAGUCGUGGCUGACGGCUGUGCCUGCGAGCUGUGGCCUCAACGCCCUGUUGGGCUCACUGCGCUUCGGCUUGUGGAUCCUUACGUGGAGAAUUAACAUAAGAGAUUUAUGGAAAAGCAGUAUCUUAUUUCCUUGAUGCUUACCUGCUUCCUUCUCAACUGACUAAAACUACAUUUGCUUUUUUGACUCUGUGCUUAGGAAAAAAAUGUUUUUGUUGGAGAGAAUGCAUCUUGUAUGACUCAGGCAUGGAGGAAACAGAAUAUUAAAGUAAACCUGUCUUCCCGAAUAUAGGAAAUAAACUGGAUUUGCAAUGUGCAUGGGCAGCAUGUAGUCAACACUUGUUAGGUAUUAGAUGCAUAGAAUGUAUUUGAAUAAAAUUGGUCCUGGCGGGGUUGGUGAUAGAUCUUUUUUGUUUCCUUUAUAAUACCUCUGUGAUUUUCUUAUUUGUCUAUUUGCAUUUGCUUUUACUUCCGUUCCAUCGAAUUAAUGGAAAGGCUUUUAGUUUAAUUUGAAAGUAAAGGAUUUCUCUGUUGCGUGAUCUUGUUUAUAUUUUUGUGUAUACAGUAGAGACAUUAAAUGAAAAAUCAUGAGUAAACGCCGUUGUUUGACACCGCAGCUGCAUGGAUCUAAACCAAACAAGAAGAGAGAACUGUAAUUUUUUUUUGAAGGAUCUUAACCAUAUGAUGUUUUGCUUGAAAGUGGACUAAUUAGAAACAGACAUUUGAUGGCUCCAGGAGACAGCUGCAUAGGUACCUCCAUUUUUUCCUCAACAGUGAGACUUCACUAAUUUGAAAUAGAAGUAAAUUAGGGGGAAGAUCAUACAAGCGGGAUGUCAGCAUUCCUCUUUUGCAUGCCAAGCCACUGUGUGUCCCCUUAUACAAAUGAGAGCUGUAUCCAACAAUACCUUCCUAAUGCUGCAGAUAGCCUAGCAAAGAUCAAAAGAGCAAACAGUCUUACUGUAACAUACCUGAACCACCGAGGGCACUGGAAGCGUGGCUGAUAAAACUGUUAAGGUUAUAGGCUAAUGCCUUCUUCAUUCCUGCCUCAGAAAAAUGGGAUGACCUUCUGUAAGUGCUUCAGCAUUCUGCAGAAGAAACGUAUGUUUAUAUAUAUUUUAUAGAUAUAUAUAUAUGAAUAUGAUAUUAUUUACAUUUUAAAAGACCUUCUACACUAAAACAGGGGAAGCUUUCUAUGUGUAAAUGAUAACCCAGUCUGGGAGGAUGUAUCUGAAAAGAUUAUGUGAGGAACUCGUAGUAUGCCUAUGUCCUUGGACCUGUAAAUGACUAAGCUUAGUAUGCAUGCCUAAGUUGACUAUCAAGGCCCUGAAAGACCACCAGUAGAAACAAAUGUGCAUAGGUCAGGGAUAUUUACAUACUUUAACAAGGGCCGGGAAAUAGUGUGGAUAUGUUAGUUAUUUCUUGGAAAUCAAAUGAAUAUGUUUUGAUUCUAUGUAACCCCUGUAGCUUGAACAAUUCGACACGCAUACUAGGUGGAGUGAUCCCCUGUGUGUCCAGCACUGCAAUUAAAGAAUGCCUGCCUUCUAAAACUCCAAAUUGAGUUGUAGAGAUUUUCUUUGACUGACUUUUAUGGUAACAUAAGCACCAUCAGGAAUCAAGCUGAUCAAGUCCAUAUAUAUAUAGACCUUGCUAGUGAGCCUUUGUCCUGUCCAGCCAGAGAGGGGAGCGGAACAAGGCUGUUGGUGCUAUCUGUGUCUGGGAUUUGUGCCUGGCUGUGUAUGUAUGUGGUGUUUUCAUGUACAUACUGGGAAUGCAUCUUCUGUCUCACUACUGGUGGGACCUGGGAUGUGGAGCUGUAGCAGCCUUGAUCCAGCAUAAUAUAUUUUCUCCUGAAAGAAGCAAGCAAAACUUAGGUAAUAUUGGAAAAGUUGCACUAAUUCAGAGAUAACUCUUCCAAAGGCAUUUUAUUCACUGUACUUUGGACUGUCAAUGCCUAGUCUCAAAAAUUCUUGAAAGUCUAAAGCAAACAUUUGCAUAAAAUCACCAGCUUUAAAAAUAGUAAUAAUAAGUAAAAAUAAUAUUCCUAUUUACCUUGUGGACUGAAAAAGCCAUUUUACAAAGUAUUUAGAGUGAGGUUUUAGAUAACUCAUGUUUUGUACAAAAGCUGUAAGAUGUCUAAACAACCCUUCCAUUCCUUAAUAUAAUGAAGACUACCUACUUAAUUGAUUCUGAAAGUAUUUUUUGAAAGUUUCAUAUAAAAUUUGCCUAAUAUAAAGCCUGAAUGGCACCUUAAAACUAAAAACAAAUGCCCCCAAUUUCUUACUUCCUCGAUGACCAAUAAUUCUAAAGUAAUUGUGCUAGAAAAAGAAUCCGUUUAACAUGAUCAUCUGCAUAUGGCUAAAUGUUAUAAUUAGCUGUCUAGAAUAAUUAAAAUAAAAACUUGAAUAAACAAGUUUCUAAUUAAUGGAACACAAUAUUUUUCUAAAUGUCCUAAAGAGUUUUAGUUUCUUUAUUUCUAAGCCUUUCCUGCUUAAGCUUUUCCAUUUGGCAAAAAGGAAUUUUUCACAUGACACUUAAGGUCUUUAGAAGUGGUUUAUUUUUGCAUUUGUGGCUAUUUGCUGAAACAAGCUGUUAUUCAGAUCCUUUAUCCAUGUGGGAAUGAACAAACAAUUUGGUGAUCAUAAAUGCUUCUAAAAAAAAAAAAGCCUAUCACUUGUUAAAAAUUAGGAUGAGAUGAUGAUUGGAUUAGGAAUUGUUGCUUCUCUUAUGUUGUUUGCUGUGUUGAUUUUUCUCUUUUGUGGAUGAGAAGAGAAAAUAGAAGACUUUAGUUCAUUAUUCUAAAUGGGAAUUGUGUACAGCACAUAAAAUACAUACGGGAAAAGCCUUGUCUACAGCUGAAAUCAGGCAUUUGAAAUCUAGUCAAAGUGGAAAUGACCCCCUGAAGAGAAAAACAAUUAGUUAAACUGAUGGUUAGCUUAAACUAUACUUUAGAAUCAAUUUAUCUUAAAAUAUCUGUCUAUUUUGCGUUAUUCUUGGCUAGGUCUUACUCUAACAGUGUUUGUUCUUAAACUACAGCCUAGUACAUAUUUGAAUGUAUCUUAGUAACCAAGAUGCAUUUUGAUUCAUAAAACAACUACUUUUGCUUUGCAUGUGGUAAAGUGACUAUGAGGCUCGUAGGAAACUGACUCAUAACGGAAAGCUUUCUCCAGCGUGCCCCAUAACAUAGGCACAGUUGCCAAGAAGUUUUGUCAGUUCAUUUCCAUAGUAACCAAUCAAUAAAACUAUUUAUUUUCUAAAGGCCUUGCACAUGAACUAAGAUUCUCAGAAAUUUAGAUAAUAAUGUUCUGAAUAUUUUACUAAUUUCCUUUCAGCAUAAAGGGAACAACUUGCUGGUGCUUUUAUUCACACAAAAAAUACCUUUAUUAAAAUGUGACAAUUUUUUUAAUUGUAUAAUGAAAUUAAAAGAAGAACAAUUCACUUUUUGUUGUUGUUGUUGUUUCUGCACAUUGUAGAUAAAUGUUUCAAAGACCUUAAAAUGGCAACAGUGACCAUGUCCUUACUUGUAUGAUGAGCAGAUACUAGGGGAAGUCACUUUCUGACCUUUAUGGGUGACAGUGAGAGACUCAGCAAAAGUCUGCAUUUCUUCUAUUUACAAAAUAGACAUUUGAUUUUUUUCUCCAGAUAUUAUUUGAUGCAUAGUAAUGUAUAAAUGCAGGUUCCCUGCGGCCAUAGCUGACAUGCCUUGAUCUGAGACUAGAGAUAGAAUGGAGGAGGAGGUGAGGUCAAAGGAUUGGCAAGCGUUCUUGCAAACUCAAUACAAGUUCGUACAACUGCAUGCGUUACAGUAUUAAUUAGAUAUUUCUGCUAGGAUUUAAUUUCAGGAAUUCUCUGAAGUGCAGCACAACUGACAGCUACAAAAAUCACUUAUUUUAAGGAACAGCAUUUUCAGUUAUCCUCUUAAUGUAUAGGUUUUUAAAUACAGUGUUGUGCUUAAACCAAGAUUCUUACUCUGCGAUGAAACAAAACAAAAUCUGAUUCUGGGAUUUUGUGUCUGUGCAUUUGUUUCUGUGGGGGAGGAAUACUACCAGUGUGCCAAAAUAUCAAGUUUUUUGUAAAAGAAGUCUUGACAAACGAUAUCACUUAGUUCACCUGCAUUCAAGUUCACCUUCCCACUCAUUCUUUUUAGCCUAACAAAUUCCCAAAAGUUUGGCUAAUUACCAUCAGGGUUAAGGACAUGACCACAUCUAUUGUCUUUUAGUAUCAUUGGAGGCCUGUUGCUUCUAGUGCUCGCGUGAGGACAUUAGUAUUGUUUCAUAUGAGUUUCUUAAAUUCUUGAAUGUACUGAUAGUACUGUUCACAGAAGGACUGGAGUACUACAGUGAAUUUAGUGACUUAAUAUCUCUUCUCUAUUUGAAGCAAAAUAUUGUAGC
Long non-coding RNA from Cygnus olor (mute swan), 4697 nucleotides. RefSeq lists it as uncharacterized. Lineage: Eukaryota; Metazoa; Chordata; Aves; Anseriformes; Anatidae. The record is from RefSeq and is a predicted model, not a curated record. The transcript is spliced from 3 exons.